This is a long non-coding RNA of Mauremys reevesii (Reeves's turtle), 165 nucleotides long. RefSeq lists it as uncharacterized. Lineage: Eukaryota; Metazoa; Chordata; Testudines; Geoemydidae. The transcript has 3 exons. The record is from RefSeq and is a predicted model, not a curated record.
CUUGGAAACAUCUUCAGCUUCAGCCCAUGGAGUUACUGCAGGUGACAAGGCACGAUGGGCUGGGCUGGGCGAGACCUGGAUGCUGCAGGGAUCUGCUCUGGCCCUGGUGCCCCUGCACAGGAGUAAGCAGGGAGCGGCAGCAGACUACUAGCAAAAGGGACCCUG